Molecule: RNA transcript, 2582 nt
Organism: Brachypodium distachyon (stiff brome)
Lineage: Eukaryota; Viridiplantae; Streptophyta; Magnoliopsida; Poales; Poaceae
Gene name: polyubiquitin 11
Exons: 6
Source: RefSeq, a predicted model, not a curated record
AAACCGGUAUUAGUGUAACACUUACGUAAAAAAAAAACUUUAUUCCAAAAACUGUUCGGUGUGGUUAAUUCCGGCCACGUCGGCUUAAGCCCGGACCGUGAGUUGUUGUUGGUGUUUCUUGGGGGAGUUUUUGCAAAAAAAUUAACAGCAAUCUGCGAAGAAUUGUGUUAGUUUUUUUUGCUAAUUUAAUAGCAACCCACAGAAAAUUAUGUUAAAAUUUUUCAAAAACCCCCCGAGAAACCGCAACAGCAACCCACGGUACUGGUACUGGAUUAAGUCAACGUGGAUGCCACGUGGGUGUCAGGUGGCCGAAAUUAAUCCAGCCAAACUGUUUUUGGAUCUAAGUAUUACAAUAAUACCGGUUAAUAGCUUGAUGUGUGCGUUUUCUGAGUUGGUGGACUAACCGCGAAUCUGUUUCGAGUAUUUGUACCAGUGGUAUAUUGAGCACUCAAUAAAAAAGAAAAAGGUGAGAGACGGUCAAAGAGUCAAAGGUGGCGUUGACCAUUUCUCUUCUCCAUCUUUUCCUUCCGCUCUUCCUCUUCCGCUCUCUUCCAGGCUCCAGCCAUGGACGGAUGAACUUGCCUCGUCCAGAUUGUCUCCAGCGACCCCUCAAACGCAUGUCCACACCAUCGGAUCCCCUCUUCCACGAGCAUUGAUCGAGCUCAAUCUCGUCAACAUGCAUUGAUCGAGCUCAUCUCAUUUCAUCUGCCCCCCGUUCGUUGCUGCAGGGUCACUACUCACUGCUACCACGCGUACUAGAGAGAGGAAGAACGGUAGCCGCGGGCGUCGUCUCCAUGAGCGGCGGGGUUUCGGGGUCGGCGGACUCGCCGGCGAGGCCCUCCGGGGAUGGUGGCGAGUGGCGGCGUAUCUACGACCGGGUCGAGUCCAUGCUGCCGCGGGUCGAGGCGCUCGCCGCCGACCGCGCGCGCCUGGACGCUGCCUACGAGGCCGAGAAAGCCAGCGACAGCGAGCACCUUGCCCGCCUCCUCCAGGCCGAGGCGAGCAGGAGCAGGUGGAAGGCGGCGUACAUGGAGCUGCCUCCCGGGGCUAAUCCCAAGCUCGCUGAACUCCAAGAAAAUGACUUGGAGGAUUCCAGAGAUUGUGAACAUCUUAUUGACAUUGAAAACUCGCAACUGAAGAUUUGACAGAAGGAUGCUAGAAAUUGUGUAGAGCUUAGUCAAAACAAUGAGGAUCAUGAGGACAUUGCAAGGGAUUUAAGAGCAGAGCUAAGAAAACUGAAGCAAGCUUAUGAGACCCUGAGCUUAGGCAAGGAUAAAGAAGUUUCUGCUUUACUUGCAGUAAAGGAUUUUCUGUGGCCAAUUGAGGACAAUGGACAAGGACAACAAAGCGCUUCUGAAGAUAAAGGAAGUGGAGGCAACACAAGCUAUGGAAGCCGCACAAAAGCUUCACAAAAACAUAGAGGAGCUGCAAAUGGCAGCCCGGAAGAAGGAUGAAGAGGUUGUCAGAUUGCAAGCAAAAGCGGUUGAUCCUAAAAAGAAGGAGACUGGUCAAAAGCGCAAGAGGGAUACCAAUGAGAUGCAUCUUGAAUGCUAUGAAGAGCCCAUGAUGCAGAUCUUUGUCAAGACCCUUAAUGGCAAGACCAUCACCCUCCAUGUUAAGAGGUCAGAUAGUAUCUUCAGUAUCAAGGCCAAGAUUCAUGACAAGGAGGGCUUCCCUCCAGGCCAGCAGAGACUUAUGUUUAAAGAUGAGCAGCUGGAGGGCAGCUGCACCCUGUAUAACUACGACAUCGAGGAGGAGGCAACCCUUCACCUUGUCCUCCGAGGCAUGCAUAUCUUCGCUAAGUCGCUGUCGGGCGAGACUGUGACUCUUGAGGUUGAGAGAGCAGAUACCAUCUACAGUGUGAAGGCAAUGAUUUUCAAUCAGACACUUAUUCCCCCAGAUGCGCAGUGCCUCUGCUUUGAUGACAGGCAGCUGGAAUAAACCCGCACCUUGGCUGACUAUAACAUGCAAAAUGAUUCUAUCCUUGAUCUUUCGGUAUGCUGCCUGUGUUCAAAGGAAAGAACGCACGUCUCUGUGAAGACACCUACUGGCAAGACCAUCAUCGAACGCGUGGUAAUGCUCUCAGAGACUGUCGACAAUAUCAAGGAGAAGAUCUAUGUCGAGUUUGGCAUUCCCCUGGACCAGCAGUGCCUCCUCUCCUUGGGCCAAAAGGAGCUGGAGAACGGCUGUGCCCGGGUGAUGGACUACGCUGGGUGCCGCCCCCUCCGUCUGCAGCUCCGCCUUCCUGUCGGAUCGAAGGAAAAUGAGAAGCCCCAUGAAGGGAUAAAUUGAUCCGGAAUCUCUUCAAUUUCCCUGUUGUCAUUCGUCUCGCCUGACCGUGCCUGUAUUAUGUAGCGGAUAGAUGAAUGGAUGAAAAUUGGAGGGCUUUUGGUGAUGUUUAGUGAGAGAAGUUCAGAGUCGGCAGAGGUUGAACUUGAAGAGCUUUUAACAUGUCGUUAGCCUAACGUGUUGUUUGCAUAUGUGCUCUGUCGAUAACAAUCUUCUGAUCUGAACGGAUCACUAGAAUUAACUGCUGAUGGGCAGUCAGCUGCUGCUGUCUACUAAUCUGGUUCUUCGGCUUA